AUUUAGACUUCAUUUUUGCCCUAAUUAUUUUUGCUUACAAGAAGCAAAAAUGCUUGAAGUCCUGAUGUCGAUUUUAAAAAUGCCUUGAAACUUUUUGUCACUUUGCUUUUCAGAAAGGUCGUACUAAUGUGUGCUUCCACUGGCAAUGUACUAGUUUCACAACAUCCUUGCCAACAUUGAGGGUUAAACUUUAAAAAAUAUUUUCUAACUAAUAAAUGAGAACUCUAUAUGGAAUGAACUAGGAUCUCUUUAAUUAUAGGAGAGUACAUUUUUCACUUGUAAAGUUGGCAUUUAUAGAGUACUGAGGGCCUUUAUUUGGACACAAUCUUAGUGUACUAAAUGAUACCUUAUACAUUACAGCACCUUUUUUUCCUAGGUGCUUGAACAUCUUUGCUCUCAUUUCAUCUUCAUUUUAGCCCCAGAGGUGGAAAAUACUUUUCUGUUCACACAGUGGUUUCUGGCCGUGAGCCAUGACGUUACUCCAGCAGUUAAGAGGCUCUGGGCUCAGACAGGUGUGGGCUGGAACUCUAUCUUUGCUGCUUCCUAAGCAAGUCGUUCAGCUUCUGAAAACUUCAAAUUUCCUCCCUCAUUAAACGGGGAUGCUACUUACUUCAUAGAGGUGUUGUGAAGUACAUGAUAUUUAGGUAGUAAUGAAGAUGUUUCAUGAACCACUCAACUGAGCUGCGAAGCCAGACUGCACCGUGCAUCUGUUGCAUGCUGAACAGAGUCUACGCCUCCCCGUGGGGAGGAGGAGAUGUUUAAACACAUGCUAAAAGACUCAAUGAAAUUUAUCACUAAUGGAAAAUUUUCAGUUAGUGGGUGAGCUGUUUAGAGCUAACCUGAACCUUUUUAACUCUCAAAUUCUGCCUGCUUGGCAGUAGCCUAUUUGGCGAAGUGCUGAGGUUCACUCUGCUAUUGGUAUGUGAGAUUGUGUGUGGGCUUCUUUUCUCAUAAUUUUGUUUGCAUCACUAGGCAUUUAAUAUAUUAACAGCCUUCUCUCUCCCUCCCUCCCCUUCUCUCUCUGUAUCCCUCUCUCCCUAUCCUUUUUGCUCCUGUAGAAUUUCUGAAGAGAUGUAUUAGUUAUCUACAGUUGCAUAACAAAUUACCCCCAAAUUUAGCAGCUCAAAAUAUCAUUUAUUGGCUUUAAGCAAUGUCACAGUUUCUGUGACAGCGUGUUCUUUUGGUGGUCUGGCUCAAGGUCUCUCAGGAAGUCGCAGGCCAGCUGUCGGCUGGCCUGAAGUUGUCUGAAAUCUUUGCUGGAGGAGAUGCUGGAGCCAAGCUUGCUCACAUCAGUGCCGGUGGGCCUUCACUCCUUGCUGGCUGCUGGCUGGAUACCUUCAUUCCUCACCAAAGGCCUCUCCAAAGGCUUCUUGAGUGUCCUCAUGACACGGUACCUGACUUCUGCCAGAGCAAGAGAGCUAAGAGGUUCAUCGUUGUUUAAAACCUCAUCUUGAACGUGGCAUACCAUCACUUCUGCCAUAUUUAUUGGUCACACAGACUGACCCUGGUCCAAGGCGGUAGGCCGCGACACAGGGUAUAAAUCCCCCCAGGAGGUGGGGAUUACUGGGGGGACAUUUUGGAGACUGGCUACCUCAAGAGAGAAGUAGGUAUUAUGUUUUUAUUGUACUUAAUAACCUGCUGGAGAAUCAGAGGACAUUUAUGUAACA
Phyllostomus discolor (pale spear-nosed bat) is the source of this 1667-nucleotide long non-coding RNA. RefSeq lists it as uncharacterized. Lineage: Eukaryota; Metazoa; Chordata; Mammalia; Chiroptera; Phyllostomidae. The record is from RefSeq and is a predicted model, not a curated record. The transcript has 3 exons.